UAUUGCAUUCAAGGAGAAGGACUGCAUUCGCCGAAGGAGCAAGUUCCCAGGAAACUCUCAGGCAAAAGGACUGUGAUAAUGGA
This 83-nucleotide non-coding RNA is filed under the name Hordeum vulgare. Its description in RNAcentral is "Glycine sequence". It matches the Rfam family "Glycine riboswitch aptamer". Rfam says of the family: This family represents the bacterial glycine riboswitch. Glycine riboswitches usually consist of two metabolite-binding aptamers domains with similar structures in tandem. The aptamers cooperatively bind glycine to regulate the expression of downstream genes. The record is from RNAcentral. Lineage: Eukaryota; Viridiplantae; Streptophyta; Magnoliopsida; Poales; Poaceae.